RNAcentral lists this ribosomal RNA (424 nucleotides) under uncultured beta proteobacterium. Its description in RNAcentral is "bacterial SSU rRNA". It matches the Rfam family "Bacterial small subunit ribosomal RNA", at positions 958 to 1385 of the family's 1533-position model. Lineage: Bacteria; Pseudomonadati; Pseudomonadota; Betaproteobacteria. The record is from RNAcentral.
AACGCGAAGAACCUUACCUACCCUUGACAUGCCAGGAAGCCCGCUGAGAGGUGGGUGUGCCCGAAAGGGAGCCUGGACACAGGUGCUGCAUGGCUGUCGUCAGCUCGUGUCGUGAGAUGUUGGGUUAAGUCCCGCAACGAGCGCAACCCUUGUCACUAGUUGCUACGCAAGGGCACUCUAGUGAGACUGCCGGUGACAAACCGGAGGAAGGUGGGGAUGACGUCAAGUCCUCAUGGCCCUUAUGGGUAGGGCUUCACACGUCAUACAAUGGCGCAUACAAAGGGCUGCCAACCCGCGAGGGGGAGCCAAUCCCAGAAAGUGCGUCGUAGUCCGGAUUGCAGUCUGCAACUCGACUGCAUGAAGUCGGAAUCGCUAGUAAUCGCGGAUCAGCAAUGUCGCGGUGAAUACGUUCCCGGGCCUUGUA